CGGGUGCGUAACGCGUAUGCAAUCUACCUUUAACUGGGGAAUAGCCUUCCGAAAGGAAGAUUAAUACCGCAUAAUAUAAUAGAGAGACAUCUCCCUGUUAUCAAAACUCAAGUGGUUAAAGAUGAGCAUGCGUGACAUUAGCUAGUUGGUAAGGUAACGGCUUACCAAGGCUACGAUGUCUAGGGGGUCUGAGAGGAUGAUCCCCCACACUGGUACUGAGACACGGACCAG
This 231-nucleotide ribosomal RNA is filed under the name uncultured bacterium. RNAcentral describes it as "partial 16S ribosomal RNA". It matches the Rfam family "Bacterial small subunit ribosomal RNA", at positions 103 to 334 of the family's 1533-position model. The record is from RNAcentral.